GCUGGGCGUGAUGGCCCAUGCCUGUAAUCCCAGUGGCUGGGAGGCUGAGUCAGGAGGAUCACAAGUUCAAAGCCAGCCUCAGUAAUGGCAAAGUACUUAGCAACUCAGUGAGACCCUGUCUCUA
RNAcentral lists this small RNA (124 nucleotides) under Marmota monax (woodchuck). Lineage: Eukaryota; Metazoa; Chordata; Mammalia; Rodentia; Sciuridae. The record is from RNAcentral.